RNAcentral lists this ribosomal RNA (855 nucleotides) under uncultured bacterium. Its description in RNAcentral is "bacterial SSU rRNA". It matches the Rfam family "Bacterial small subunit ribosomal RNA", at positions 51 to 919 of the family's 1533-position model. The record is from RNAcentral.
ACACAUGCAAGUCGAACGAGCGAGAGAGAGCUUGCUUUCUCGAGCGAGUGGCGAACGGGUGAGUAACGCGUGAGGAACCUGCCUCAAAGAGGGGGACAACAGUUGGAAACGACUGCUAAUACCGCAUAAGCCCACGGUGCCGCAUGGUACAGAGGGAAAAGGAGCAAUCCGCUUUGAGAUGGCCUCGCGUCCGAUUAGCUAGUUGGUGAGGUAACGGCCCACCAAGGCGACGAUCGGUAGCCGGACUGAGAGGUUGAACGGCCACAUUGGGACUGAGACACGGCCCAGACUCCUACGGGAGGCAGCAGUGGGGAAUAUUGCACAAUGGGGGAAACCCUGAUGCAGCGACGCCGCGUGGAGGAAGAAGGUCUUCGGAUUGUAAACUCCUGUUGUUGGGGAAGAUAAUGACGGUACCCAACAAGGAAGUGACGGCUAACUACGUGCCAGCAGCCGCGGUAAAACGUAGGUCACAAGCGUUGUCCGGAAUUACUGGGUGUAAAGGGAGCGCAGGCGGGAAGACAAGUUGGAAGUGAAAUCUAUGGGCUCAACCCAUAAACUGCUUUCAAAACUGUUUUUCUUGAGUAGUGCAGAGGUAGGCGGAAUUCCCGGUGUAGCGGUGGAAUGCGUAGAUAUCGGGAGGAACACCAGUGGCGAAGGCGGCCUACUGGGCACCAACUGACGCUGAGGCUCGAAAGUGUGGGUAGCAAACAGGAUUAGAUACCCUGGUAGUCCACACCGUAAACGAUGAUUACUAGGUGUUGGAGGAUUGACCCCUUCAGUGCCGCAGUUAACACAAUAAGUAAUCCACCUGGGGAGUACGACCGCAAGGUUGAAACUCAAAGGAAUUGACGGGGG